This 305-nucleotide ribosomal RNA is filed under the name uncultured bacterium. Its description in RNAcentral is "partial 16S ribosomal RNA". It matches the Rfam family "Bacterial small subunit ribosomal RNA", at positions 506 to 807 of the family's 1533-position model. The record is from RNAcentral.
ACAGCAGUAGCCGCGGGAAUACGUAGGUGGCAAGCGUUGCCCGGAAUUAUUGGGCGUAAAGGGCUCGCAGGCGGUUUCUUAAGUCUGAUGUGAAAGCCCCCGGCUCAACCGGGGAGGGUCAUUGGAAACUGGGAAACUUGAGUGCAGAAGAGGAGAGUGGAAUUCCACGUGUAGCGGUGAAAUGCGUAGAGAUGUGGAGGAACACCAGUGGCGAAGGCGACUCUCUGGUCUGUAACUGACGCUGAGGAGCGAAAGCGUGGGGAGCGAACAGGAUUAGAUACCCCCGUAGUCCCUGUCUCUUAUAC